Molecule: ribosomal RNA, 571 nt
Filed under: uncultured bacterium
Lineage: Bacteria
Description: partial 16S ribosomal RNA
Rfam family: Bacterial small subunit ribosomal RNA
Source: RNAcentral
UGGGGAAUUUUGGACAAUGGGCGCAAGCCUGAUCCAGCCAUGCUGCGUGCGGGAAGAAGGCCUUCGGGUUGUAAACCGCUUUUGUCAGGGAAGAAAUCUUCUGAGUUAAUACCUCGGGAGGAUGACGGUACCUGAAGAAUAAGCACCGGCUAACUACGUGCCAGCAGCCGCGGUAAUACGUAGGGUGCAAGCGUUAAUCGGAAUUACUGGGCGUAAAGCGUGCGCAGGCGGUUUUGUAAGACAGAGGUGAAAUCCCCGGGCUCAACCUGGGAACUGCCUUUGUGACUGCAAGGCUUGAGUGCGGCAGAGGGGGAUGGAAUUCCGCGUGUAGCAGUGAAAUGCGUAGAUAUGCGGAGGAACACCGAUGGCGAAGGCAAUCCCCUGGGCCUGCACUGACGCUCAUGCACGAAAGCGUGGGGAGCAAACAGGAUUAGAUACCCUGGUAGUCCACGCCCUAAACGAUGUCAACUGGUUGUUGGGAAGGUUCCUUCUCAGUAACGUAGCUAACGCGUGAAGUUGACCGCCUGGGGAGUACGGCCGCAAGGUUGAAACUCAAAUGAAUUGACGGGGU